RNAcentral lists this transfer RNA (72 nucleotides) under Ensete ventricosum. It matches the Rfam family "tRNA". From Rfam's summary of the family: Transfer RNA (tRNA) molecules are approximately 80 nucleotides in length. Their secondary structure includes four short double-helical elements and three loops (D, anti-codon, and T loops). Further hydrogen bonds mediate the characteristic L-shaped molecular structure. tRNAs have two regions of fundamental functional importance: the anti-codon, which is responsible for specific mRNA codon recognition, and the 3' end, to which the tRNAs corresponding amino acid is attached (by aminoacyl-tRNA synthetases). tRNAs cope with the degeneracy of the genetic code in two manners: having more than one tRNA (with a specific anti-codon) for a particular amino acid; and 'wobble' base-pairing, i.e. permitting non-standard base-pairing at the 3rd anti-codon position. RNAcentral also lists the same sequence under 3 other names. Lineage: Eukaryota; Viridiplantae; Streptophyta; Magnoliopsida; Zingiberales; Musaceae. The record is from Rfam by way of RNAcentral.
GGUUCCAUGGUGUAGUGGUGAGCACUCCAGACUUUGAAUCUGGCGACCUGGGUUCGAAUCCCGGUGGGACCU